Molecule: ribosomal RNA, 497 nt
Filed under: uncultured bacterium
Lineage: Bacteria
Description: partial 16S ribosomal RNA
Rfam family: Bacterial small subunit ribosomal RNA
Source: RNAcentral
GAUGAACGCUGGCGGCGUGCCUAAUACAUGCAAGUCGAGCGAACGGACGAGAAGCUUGCUUCUCUGAUGUUAGCGGCGGACGGGUGAGUAACACGUGGAUAACCUACCUAUAAGACUGGGAUAACUUCGGGAAACCGGAGCUAAUACCGGAUGAUAUUUUGAACCGCAUGGUUCAAAAGUGAAAGACGGUCUUGCUGUCACUUAUAGAUGGAUCCGCGCUGCAUUAGCUAGUUGGUAAGGUAACGGCUUACCAAGGCAACGAUGCAUAGCCGACCUGAGAGGGUGAACCGCCACACUGGAACUGAGACACGGUCCCGACUCCUACUGGAGGCAGCAGUAGGGACUCUUCCGCAAUGGGCGAAAGCCUGACGGAGCACCGCCGCGUGAGUGCUGAAGGUCUUCGGCUCGUAAAGCUCUGUUAUUAGUGAAGAACAUAUGUGUAAGUACCUGUGCACAUCUUGACGGUACCUAAUCAGAAAGCCCCGGCUAACUACGUG